UACGGAAGGUCCGGGCGUUAUCCGGAUUUAUUGGGUUUAAAGGGAGCGCAGGCGGAGAUGCAAGCGUGACGUCAAAUUUCGGGGCUCAACCCCGUCUCGCGUCGCGAACUGCGUCCCUUGGUUGCGGGAAGGGGAGGCGGAACUCGUGGUGUAGCGGUGAAAUGCAUAGAUAUCACGAAGAACUCCGAUCGCGAAGGCAGCCUUCCGGCCCGUCAACGACGCUCAUGCUCGAAGGUGCGGGUAUCAAACAGGAUUAGAUACCCCUGUAGUCCCUGAGCGGG
Molecule: ribosomal RNA, 281 nt
Filed under: uncultured prokaryote
Description: partial 16S ribosomal RNA
Rfam family: Bacterial small subunit ribosomal RNA
Source: RNAcentral